AUAGCAGCAGAUGGGUUAGAUGUGAAUAAGCGGCUCAGAUUCUGCUUCGUGUGACCUUUGUCACCACAGGAGCCAAGUUGGGUGGGGUGUAUAAAUUGCUGGCGUUGUCUGGAAAUGACUUUCGUGAGGCCAAGGAUUCCCCGUGGUCAGCUUUGGAAUCUAAGGACCUGAGUUCCUUGCUGGGGAAGCUCUUCCUUUAAAUCCUUCUGGCCUGUGGAGUGUGGACUGGGCCAGCACCCAGGACCCCAGUCAUCCCAGCCCGUCACUGCAAGCAGUGACUCCAGCUCAGUGACACAGCCCUCGCUGGGAAGCUCCGUGCCUGGAGCUCUCAUCUCCCCGUUGCGCUGGGAGGACGGAGGAAUAAUUCAGGAGAACUGAGACUGCAGGGUGAAGCCAUGGUCUUUGGGGUCCUUGAUUGCUCCUUCCUCCAUAAUGUUGUUUCCUAAAUCCCCUGAAUUCUCUCCCUCAGGUCCUUUCAACAUGGUUCUUCCUAGGGGACUGAGUCAAUUUUAUCUGCCUUCUACAAUGCCGCAGAUUGAGUAUUUUGGAAAGAAAACAGAUUUGUUUUGAUUCUAAGUUGCAGUCCAAAGCUGCAAGACGGUUCUUGGCAGAGACCUGAAGCUGUGCAGGGCAUACAUGGCCUUAGAAAGACAGUGGAGGAAAACAAGAAAAAGUGGAGGACGAACAUCCCAAGCUACUUUGACAGCAGGUGCUCAGGAGAGAAUUCCUUAGUGAAUGUUCUCAUCCAUUCUUGAGAGCAGAGACCUAAUUGCUCUUUAAAACGUCCCACCUGAUCCUACUUUCAAUAGCUAAUAAUGGCGGGUGGGGGGGUCCCCAAGGGAUUCUGUUGGCUAAAGACAUAAAAUAUCUUCUCUGAGCUGGUCCCUUUUCAUGUCCUUUGAACUAUUGAUACUGUGCUUGAAUUUUUUUUCUCCUUUUUUGCACAUAUGCUGCUAUCUGAGAUGUGGUUCAAAUAGUUCACUCACUCAUUCCACUGAUUGGGAGACUUGGCAUCUUUCAAGUUUAUUUUUUGUAGAUGUUGUGAGUAUCAUUUGUUAAUGGCAAGUCAUGAUAACUUUUUUAUAUCAUGGGAAAAAUUGUUGGGUUAUAGGUUGUUGAUAAAUUUAAAUUUACUAAGAAGCGCUCACAGAGCAUAUGAAUUAACCAUCUGACCUUUUAUAUAUGUGUAUUUGCUCGAUCUUGUGAUUUGCCAACAGCGGGAUGAUCUAAUUAUCUUUUUCGUCUAAUGUUAAGUAGCAUCUUCUGUAUGAUUCUAUAUUGCUAAAUACUGAUUACCACUAGUCCUGAAUUUGUAUCCGCUAUUUAUUCAUGCUGGUUACCACUAAUGAAUCCACAUUUUCCCAUGCAGUUCUGUAAGUUUUUACCUCAUGUAUUUGAUGCUCUGUUUAGGAGCUCACAUAUCAAAGAUUGUCAUAUCUUUUUAGAGAAAUACCUGCCUUAUCAUUACAUAAUCUCAGUAAGAUUUAAUUUUAUCUGAUCUAAGGCCCGCUUAGUAUGAAGGAAAUGUACUUAAUCUGUGUUUCUUUGGUCUUAUAAUGGUCUUCUGUAUAACUUUAUAUUUAAUCUAUCUGAUUUCUUUUUGUUCAUAUUUUGAAAUAAUUUUAUAUCUCAAUUUAACAAAAUUGAAUAUAUUCACCACUUAAAUAUGGUUUUUGGAGUACAUAUAGAUGGCAAAGUUGCUAAAAAAAAAAUAUAUUAGCUCUACUCUUUUUACUAACCCACAAGAUGUGUCACCAAACACUCCGAAUUAAUGGAGAGAGCAGAAUUUGACUAAUUUGCCAAACUAUUUUUCUAACUAGAACGUUCCACAAAUGACGAUGCUCUUUUACAGGAAAUUCUAUAAAACAGUGCUUCCAAAGCUUUUCAGUGCCCAAGGAAGAGAAUAAGUUCUUCGCUCCUCCCAGUUGUUGUCUUAUCCAAAUGUAGCCAGAAAAUUCUAUGAGUAUCUCAAGGAGACAUUAGAUCUUUACUCAAAAAUACAGAUGAAUGCUACACUUACCAAACAGAGGGCCUGGGAGUCAUAGUGAACAGCACACAGGCUGGUGAAGAGGAAGAAUCAGGACAUGUGUUCCUGAUUCACCAAGCAUCCUCCAGGAAAGUGGCCAACUACAAUUGGAGAGAAGGCACUUGUUUCAUAUGGACCUCCAAUUCUUCACCUCUGUCCUUUUCCACGGUUUCUGCAAUCUUUCUUCUUUAAGCAUCUCUGCUUUUGGUUCCCUCAGGAUAAUGAAGGUAUCAGCAUUUAUUCUUUCAAACAUCUUACAAAUGCCAUAGACCCAUUGCUUGUGUUUGCUAGUUUUCCUCUAACCAGCAUCUUUCAAAAUUGCCUAAAAGUAUGAAGACCCUUAUCAUGACUACUUGUUCAUUCUGAUUCAGCUGAAGGGAGCUCAACCUCUAUGUUGCCAAGGAAGGUGGAAAGGACAAAACAAUGGAGGGUUCAGCAAGGUUUCAAUCUUGACUAUAUUUUUUCUUCCAUCAAUUCUUGUUAAAGCAUUGUCCAAUGACAAUAAACUUUAUAUAGCAGUUAUUCA
Long non-coding RNA from Oryctolagus cuniculus (rabbit), 2552 nucleotides. The record is from Ensembl. Lineage: Eukaryota; Metazoa; Chordata; Mammalia; Lagomorpha; Leporidae.